RNAcentral lists this unclassified non-coding RNA (248 nucleotides) under plant metagenome. RNAcentral's name for it is "partial contains small subunit ribosomal RNA, internal transcribed spacer 1, and 5.8S ribosomal RNA". The record is from RNAcentral.
UCUCCGUAGGUGAACCUGCGGAGGGAUCAUUACAGAGUUCAUGCCCUACCGGGUAGAUCUCCCACCCUAUGUUAUUAUUACUUUGUUGCUUUGGCGGGCCGUUAGGCUCCGGCCCGACUACCGGCCCCGGCUGGUAAGCGCCCGCCAGAGGACCCAAAACCCUGAAUAUUAGUGUCGUCUGAGUACUAUAUAAUAGUUAAAACUUUCAACAACGGAUCUCUUGGUUCUGGCAUCGAUGAAGAACCAGC